This 472-nucleotide ribosomal RNA is filed under the name uncultured bacterium. Its description in RNAcentral is "bacterial SSU rRNA". It matches the Rfam family "Bacterial small subunit ribosomal RNA", at positions 355 to 825 of the family's 1533-position model. The record is from RNAcentral.
UGGGGAAUAUUGGACAAUGGGGGAAACCCUGAUCCAGCGACGCCGCGUGUGUGAAGAAGGCCUGCGGGUUGUAAAGCACUUUCGGUGGGAACGAAAUAUGCCGGGCUAAUACCCCGGUAGGCUGACGUUACUCAAUGAAGAAGCACCGGCUAACUCUGUGCCAGCAGCCGCGGUAAUACAGAGGGUGCGAGCGUUAAUCGGAAUUACUGGGCGUAAAGCGCACGUAGGUGGCGACGUAAGUCGGGUGUGAAAGCCCCGGGCUCAACCUGGGAACUGCAUUCGAGACUGCGUUGCUGGAGUACGGAAGAGGAGGGCGGAAUUCCCGGUGUAGCGGUGAAAUGCGUAGAUAUCGGGAGGAACAUCAGUGGCGAAGGCGGCCCUCUGGUCCAGUACUGACACUCAAGUGCGAAAGCGUGGGGAGCAAACAGGAUUAGAUACCCAAGUAGUCCCUGAGCGGGCUGGCAAGGCGCAU